Capra hircus (goat) is the source of this 659-nucleotide long non-coding RNA. RefSeq lists it as uncharacterized. The record is from RefSeq and is a predicted model, not a curated record. The transcript has 3 exons. NCBI's taxonomy places the organism in Eukaryota, Metazoa, Chordata, Mammalia, Artiodactyla, Bovidae.
AGCAGGCAGGAGCAGGAACAUGAGCCCUGCCUGCUCUCCAGCUAGUGAUGUUACCACCCAUUUGUGAUUCCUGAGACAGAACAGAGCAAGCCAAGCCUUAACACCUGCCUUGCGUUAACAAGCAUGGACCUGGCCUGUCAGGUACAGUCCUUCCAGGGAUGGGCCUCUCCCCUUCGUCUUGGAUCCUGCCUGAGGCCAGGGUGAGUCCUGUAAAGAUCCAGAACCCUCUUGAUCCACACAGACCAAGCGGCCAGCCUUGCCAGUGUUGGACUGCACACCUCCUUCAUCCAGCCAGCAAAUCAAUGCAAACCCAAGGUGUUAGCUCUUCGAUCUUCACAACAGCUAGUGCAAAAGGUAUUGUGAUUAUCUGCUUUCCUGAAUGCCCGAAUUUGUAGAGCUGUUGCAGGAAGGAGUCUUUGUUCAGAGUUAGACAGUGACUCCAAGAGCCUGGGGUCUCUCACCACAAUGCUGCCCUGCCUCCAGCCCUGGCCAGUAAAUGGGUCCUCCCCUCCUCAGACACUAGCCCAAGCAGCAAGGAUGAAGUCGACUGUGGCUGUGCUUUAGAAACACAGGACCGACAUGAAGGACACAGAAGGUCCACUUGGCAGGGCCAUGGAAGAGCCCAGCAGAUUGCCAUCAACCUGUAAAACAAGCAUCAC